UACAGAGGGGGCAAGCGUUAUCCGGAAUGAUUGGGCGUAAAGCGUUCGUAGGUGGCUUGUGAAGUCUACUGUCAAAAAUCAGGGCUCAACCUUGAGCAGGCAGUGGAAACUCAUGAGCUUGAGUGCGGUAGAGGUAGAGGGAACUCUUUAUGGAGCGGUGAAAUGCGUAGAGAUAAGGAGGAACACCAGCGGCGAAGGCGCUCUACUGGGCCGAGACUGACACUGAGGGACGAAAGCUAAGGGAGCAAAUAGG
This 253-nucleotide ribosomal RNA is filed under the name uncultured bacterium. RNAcentral describes it as "partial 16S ribosomal RNA". It matches the Rfam family "Bacterial small subunit ribosomal RNA", at positions 524 to 776 of the family's 1533-position model. The record is from RNAcentral.